GAUGAACGCUAGCGGCAGGCUUAAUACAUGCAAGUCGAACGGUAAGGCCCCUUCGGGGGUACACGAGUGGCGCACGGGUGCGUAACGCGUACACAAUCUACCUUAAAGAGGAGAAUAGCCUUUGGAAACGAAGAUUAAUACUCCAUGGUGUUAUAAUAUCGCAUGAUAUAAUAACUAAAGCUCCGGCGCUUUAAGAUGGGUGUGCGUCCCAUUAGUUAGUUGGUAGGGUAACGGCCUACCAAGACCACGAUGGGUAGCUGUUCUGAGAGGAAGAUCAGCCACACGGGCACUGAGACACGGGCCCGACUCCUACGGGAGGCAGCAGUAAGGAAUAUUGGGCAAUGGAGGCAACUCUGACCCAGCCAUGCCGCGUGAAGGAUGACUGCCCUCUGGGUUGUAAACUUCUUUUAUAUGGAAAGAAACCCCACUAUUUAUGGUGGGCUGACGGUACCAUACGAAUAAGCACCGGCUAACUCCG
Molecule: ribosomal RNA, 478 nt
Filed under: uncultured Bacteroidota bacterium
Lineage: Bacteria; Pseudomonadati; Bacteroidota
Description: bacterial SSU rRNA
Rfam family: Bacterial small subunit ribosomal RNA
Source: RNAcentral